GGGGGCCGUUACACUGUAAGAGAUUGAGUAGCAGAUCUCACAGUGAACCGGUCUCUUU
RNAcentral lists this microRNA precursor (58 nucleotides) under Lepisosteus oculatus (spotted gar). RNAcentral's name for it is "Loc-Mir-128-P1_pre stem-loop". It matches the Rfam family "mir-128 microRNA precursor family", at positions 15 to 71 of the family's 83-position model. The record is from RNAcentral. Lineage: Eukaryota; Metazoa; Chordata; Actinopteri; Semionotiformes; Lepisosteidae.